GACGAACGCUGGCGGCGUGCCUAAUACAUGCAAGUUGAGCGCUGAAGGUUGGUACUUGUACCAACUGGAUGAGCAGCGAACGGGUGAGUAACGCGUGGGGAAUCUGCCUUUGAGCGGGGGACAACAUUUGGAAACGAAUGCUAAUACCGCAUAAAAACUUUAAACACAAGUUUUAAGUUUGAAAGAUGCAAUUGCAUCACUCAAAGAUGAUCCCGCGUUGUAUUAGCUAGUUGGUGAGGUAAAGGCUCACCAAGGCGAUGAUACAUAGCCGACCUGAGAGGGUGAUCGGCCACAUUGGGACUGCGCCACGGCCCAAACUCCUACGGGAGGCAGCAGUAGGGAAUCUUCGGCAAUGGACGAAAGUCUGACCGAGCAACGCCGCGUGAGUGAAGAAGGUUUUCGGAUCGUAAAACUCUGUUGGUAGAGAAGAACGUUGGUGAGAGUGGAAAGCUCAUCAAGUGACGGUAACUACCCAGAAAGGGACGGCUAACUACGUG
This 497-nucleotide ribosomal RNA is filed under the name uncultured bacterium. RNAcentral describes it as "partial 16S ribosomal RNA". It matches the Rfam family "Bacterial small subunit ribosomal RNA", at positions 28 to 507 of the family's 1533-position model. The record is from RNAcentral.